Pecten maximus is the source of this 1387-nucleotide long non-coding RNA. RefSeq lists it as uncharacterized. Lineage: Eukaryota; Metazoa; Mollusca; Bivalvia; Pectinida; Pectinidae. The transcript is spliced from 3 exons. The record is from RefSeq and is a predicted model, not a curated record.
CUGCGUUUCCUUGACCAAACAUUUUUCAUAUCACCCGCACCAUCUUAUGAGUUCUUGGAAAUAGAUGUUAAGGUCGCAUUUAAUUUAACACUCGACCAAGGCAUUAUACCAGUGUUGGCUGUGUGGAUAACGGACGAGAACGGAACUGGUCAUUGGGAUGUGCUAGAUCAGACAUGUACAUCUGGAGACUAUGAAAUACCUGGCGAUGGUUAUAUCAUUUUCAAGGUGUGUGAAAAACUCCUGUCCGAAAUCAAUCUGCGCAUAAAACGGAGCACACGUAACCAGGUCAACACCCCUUUUCAGUUUGGGGUAUUUCUGAUAAAUGAAACAUAUUCCAACACCGCUCCUGUGUUAGACACGUCUGUACUUACAAUUGUAUGAGGAUACUAGCUUAGAUACAGUACAACUGUUUUGGUCCGACGCAGAGUCAGACAGCGUGACGUUUGAUCUUUCUCCAAGUCAUCAGAACGACUCUAUAAACAUAACCACCGAUGGAAGGCUAAGUUUUACUCCACCACUUCACUAUGCCGAUGUAUUUCAAGUGAGUGUAAUACUGAAAGAAAAUACGUCACAUGCCGAGAAGCUGGACACAUGUUAGUGUUUUAGACAUCGAGGUAGCUAAUGUAAAUGACCCACCGAAUUUAUUAUUCAUACAUCCGGAUGGAUCUGUUAGUGAUUCACGUCAAAUACACAACGAUACUUUCUUUCUUGAAAGUAACCAAACCCAGUACGAUAUUGGAACGUUAGCAGUCUACGACUUUGACGAUAAUGACACAUUCGUGUUUUUUGAAAUGGCCAAACGCAGUGGUCAGAUCACCAACGACACAACUGUGAUCAUUCAGGGGACAACCAACAGUGGUGUAGAAGUUUAUAUAACAGACUCGGAGUAUGUGAAGCAGUCAUCUCAUGCAAGUGUUAAAGCCACGUCUCGUGAUAACCUGACAGGGGAGGUACAUUUUCAUUUUCGCGUUCGUGAUCAAGAUGAAGCGUUUUCUCACGAAUAUGUCGCAGUCGUCUAUUUCCUUUUCAACCCAUGCGUACAUGGUACUUGUGGAACUAUCAACGUAGACGGACCUCCGUGUAAUAGUACGGUUAGAUCGGUGACAUUUGAACCAUACUACUGUGUAUGUGAGAAGGGAUAUGAUGGUAAUUGGUGCCAGGAGGAAAUAAACGAGUGUGAAACUAUCGGCUGCUCUUGGAUGCAUCAUUGCACUGACAAAAUAGGAGCCGUGGAAUGUACUAUGAAUUACGAAAAAAUGGUACCAAUCACAGUUUUAAGUUGUUUGGCCUUCAUAUCUCUUGCUGUCGGUAUUUGGAUUUUUGGAAGAAAAAAAUGCCACAAAUCAGCUUACCAAAAGAAAGUCGAUGUUGAUAACUUCGGAUCUCG